CUGCAGUUUAGAAGAUGGCUGAUAAAGAAACAGAUUCUGGAAUUAAAAAUUAA
RNAcentral lists this small nuclear RNA (53 nucleotides) under Pongo abelii (Sumatran orangutan). The record is from RNAcentral. Lineage: Eukaryota; Metazoa; Chordata; Mammalia; Primates; Hominidae.